This 448-nucleotide ribosomal RNA is filed under the name uncultured bacterium. RNAcentral describes it as "bacterial SSU rRNA". It matches the Rfam family "Bacterial small subunit ribosomal RNA", at positions 355 to 825 of the family's 1533-position model. The record is from RNAcentral.
UCGGGAAUUUUGGGCAAUGGGCGAAAGCCUGACCCAGCAACGCCGCGUGAAGGAUGAAGUAUUUCGGUAUGUAAACUUCGAAAGAAUAGGAAGAAUAAAUGACGGUACUAUUUAUAAGGUCCGGCUAACUACGUGCCAGCAGCCGCGGUAAUACGUAGGGACCAAGCGUUGUUCGGAUUUACUGGGCGUAAGGGGCGCGUAGGCGGCAAUUCAAGUCAUCUGUGAAAUCUCCGGGCUUAACUCGGAACGGUCAGAUGAUACUGCUUUGCUAGAGUGCAGAAGGGGCAAUCGGAAUUCUUGGUGUAGCGGUGAAAUGCGUAGAUAUCAAGAGGAACACCUGAGGUGAAGACGGGUUGCUGGGCUGACACUGACGCUGAGGCGCGAAAGCCAGGGGGAGCAAACGGGAUUAGAUACCCCCGUAGUCCCUGAGCGGGCUGGCAAGGCGCAU